CGUGUAGGCGGUUGGUCAAGUCUGGUGUGAAAGCCCGGGGCUCAGCUCCGGAAGGGCAUCGGAAACUAACCAGCUGGAGCGCGAUAGAGGAGGGCGGAAUUCCUGGUGUAGCGGUGAAAUGCGUAGAUAUCAGGAGGAACACCGGCGGCGAAGGCGGCCCUCUGGAUCGUUGCUGACGCUGAGACGCGAAAGCGUGGGGAGCAAACAGGAUUAGAUACCCUGGUAGUCCACGCUGUAAACUAUGGGUACUAGGUGUUCGGGGUAUUGACCCCCUGAGUGCCGCAGCUAACGCAUUAAGUACCCCGCCUGGGGACUACGGCCGCAAGGUUAAA
RNAcentral lists this ribosomal RNA (332 nucleotides) under uncultured bacterium. Its description in RNAcentral is "bacterial SSU rRNA". It matches the Rfam family "Bacterial small subunit ribosomal RNA", at positions 568 to 898 of the family's 1533-position model. The record is from RNAcentral.